GCCUCCUUUGCUUCUCCUAGAUGAGGGGGACUGCACACCCCAGCCUGGCUGCAGAGGGCUAAGCCCCAAAUACUGGAGUUAGCAGGUUGUGAUGGCUCUGAGUAGCUUCCCCUGAGUGGGAGCAGCCUAAGCUGGCUGGGGAGGACAGGAAUACUAACCUGAGCAGCCUGGUGCUGUGACAUGGCUCUGUGCUGGGAUGCAGCAGCUGCCUGUGCCAGCCUCGGGAGAGCUCAGCCUUGAGGGAGAUCAGGUUUUCUUCCUGUGGCUGGAGGAACCCAGCAACACAAGCCUUCGUCAGUGGCAAACAGUGAGUUUGUGGAGAAGAGAGCAGAGCUGAGCCAUACUGGAGAUGCUACCACAUCCUCAGCGCCACUUUGCCCAGGACACAAAUGUAGCUCUAAAGAAAAGCAUCAGUGGACCACAUCCCUCCUGCUGCUUGCUCAUCCUCGGAUUGAU
RNAcentral lists this long non-coding RNA (456 nucleotides) under Junco hyemalis (dark-eyed junco). RNAcentral describes it as "lncRNA (ENSJHYG00000000346.1)". The record is from RNAcentral. Lineage: Eukaryota; Metazoa; Chordata; Aves; Passeriformes; Passerellidae.